Molecule: ribosomal RNA, 351 nt
Filed under: uncultured Latescibacterota bacterium
Lineage: Bacteria; Pseudomonadati; Candidatus Latescibacterota
Description: bacterial SSU rRNA
Rfam family: Bacterial small subunit ribosomal RNA
Source: RNAcentral
GCACAGGUGCUGCAUGGCUGUCGUCAGCUCGUGUCGUGAGAUGUUGGGUUAAGUCCCGCAACGAGCGCAACCCUUAUCCCCAGUUGCCAUCAGGUAAAGCUGGGAACUCUGGGGAGACUGCCGGUGAUAAACCGGAGGAAGGCGGGGAUGACGUCAAGUCCUCAUGGCCCUUACAUCCCGGGCUACACACGUGCUACAAUGGCAGGUACAGAGGGCUGCGAAGCCGCGAGGUGGAGCGAAUCCCAGAAAACCUGUCUCAGUCCGGAUUGAAGUCUGCAACUCGACUUCAUGAAGGCGGAAUCGCUAGUAACCGCGAAUCAGCAGGUCGCGGUGAAUACGUUCCCGGGCCUU